This is a long non-coding RNA of Apodemus sylvaticus (European woodmouse), 661 nucleotides long. RefSeq lists it as uncharacterized. The transcript is spliced from 4 exons. NCBI's taxonomy places the organism in Eukaryota, Metazoa, Chordata, Mammalia, Rodentia, Muridae. The record is from RefSeq and is a predicted model, not a curated record.
CACUCUUGAGCUUCUUCAAUUCUGGGCACUUGGUAACCCUUAUUGAUACAGACUUGUUUCAUCUGUCUUCUAUGGAUUUCCCAGGGACAGCAAUGAACAAGAAAACCACUGCGGGGUGCUGCGGCGCAGUCAGCCAAGCCACCUGCCUGCAACCCUGCCCCUGCAAGGCUGUCCUCAGGCUCUUCCAGACUUCCUCAAUUGGAUCCACACAGCAGUUCUGUGGUAUGGUGGUGCACGCCUGUAUCCGAGAUUGUCCUGAGCUGCACUACGAGUUCAAGUCCCAGACAAGACUACUUGAAGCCUGCCUCAAAGAAAAGCAAAAAGGAAGAAAGACGACCAAGUGCCUGAGGCCUUUGACUCACAGAGUCUUGUGUGGAGCCAUGAAACCUCACGCUGACAGUCGGCCUGCCUCCUUCCCUCCAUUCCCAAGUAACUGCUGACCUGCUUCCUGUCCCUAGUUUGCAUUUUCUGGAGUUCCCUGUGGACAAACUUACACAGAUGUCUGGAGCAUCCCUGGACGUGGUGACACACACCUGUAAUCCCGGCAUGUAGGAAGCAAGGCAGAAGAUCACCAGCCUGUUCUACACAGAAAGUUAAGACCAGGAAGGACUGCUUAGUGAGUCCCCUGUCUCAAAGGAUCCAAUACAAAUGGACAAUAAAA